Molecule: ribosomal RNA, 392 nt
Filed under: uncultured bacterium
Lineage: Bacteria
Description: partial 16S ribosomal RNA
Rfam family: Bacterial small subunit ribosomal RNA
Source: RNAcentral
AUACGGAGGACGCGAGCGUUAUCCGGAUUCAUUGGGUUUAAAGGGUGCGCAGGCGGCCAUUUAAGUCAGCGGUUAAAUCGUGGGGCUCAACCCCAUUCUGCCGUUGAUACUGGGUGGCUUGAUUGCGGUCGAGGUUGGCGGAAUUCGUUGUGUAGCGGUGAAAUGCAUAGAUAUGACGAAGAACACCGAUUGCGUAGGCAGCUGACCAGACCGCAAAUGACGCUCAUGCACGAAAGUACGGGGAUCGAACAGGAUUAGAUACCCUGGUAGUCCGCACAGUAAACGAUGAAUACUUGUUUUCGGCGAUAUAAUGUCGGAGGCAAAGCGAAAGCGAUAAGUAUUCCACCUGGGGAGUACGCCGGCAACAGUGAAACUCAAAGGAAUUGACGGGG